GGUUGGUUAGCUCAGUUGGUUGGAGUGUGGUGCUAAUAAUGCCAAGGUUGUGGGUUCGAUUCCCAAACAGGCCA
This 74-nucleotide transfer RNA is filed under the name Rattus norvegicus (Norway rat). It matches the Rfam family "tRNA". From Rfam's summary of the family: Transfer RNA (tRNA) molecules are approximately 80 nucleotides in length. The record is from Rfam by way of RNAcentral. Lineage: Eukaryota; Metazoa; Chordata; Mammalia; Rodentia; Muridae.